RNAcentral lists this ribosomal RNA (378 nucleotides) under uncultured bacterium. Its description in RNAcentral is "bacterial SSU rRNA". It matches the Rfam family "Bacterial small subunit ribosomal RNA", at positions 30 to 408 of the family's 1533-position model. The record is from RNAcentral.
AUUGAACGCUGGCGGCAUGCCUUACACAUGCAAGUCGAACGGCAGCACGGGAGCAAUCCUGGUGGCGAGUGGCGAACGGGUGAGUAAUAUAUCGGAACGUGCCCAGUCGUGGGGGAUAACGUAGCGAAAGCUACGCUAAUACCGCAUACGAUCUAUGGAUGAAAGCGGGGGGAUCGCAAGACCUCGCGCGAUUGGAGCGGCCGAUAUCAGAUUAGGUAGUUGGUGAGGUAAAGGCUCGCCAAGCCGACGAUCUGUAGCUGGUCUGAGAGGACGACCAGCCACACUGGGACUGAGACAGGCCCAGACUCCUACGGGAGGCAGCAGUGGGGAAUUUUGGACAAUGGGCGCAAGCCUGAUCCAGCAAUGCCGCGUGCAGGA